Molecule: long non-coding RNA, 1467 nt
Filed under: Monodelphis domestica (gray short-tailed opossum)
Lineage: Eukaryota; Metazoa; Chordata; Mammalia; Didelphimorphia; Didelphidae
Description: lncRNA (ENSMODG00000042229.1)
Source: RNAcentral
AUGUCAGGGUGCCACGCCGGGCCACGGCUCCUCUGCAGAACAGACACUCUGCUUGGAAUCCCGCGUGUGUGCCACGCGCCCGCCCCAUCACCCCAGCUUCCUUUCUCCUCCUCAGGCCGCUGCCAGGGUCCCUCACAGGCCCCGCAGGGAUGCCGGAGGUCAGGUGAGGGACAAAGGCUUCUCCUGCCGGCCUCCCUUCCCUCCCUCCCGGGAGCCUCCGCAGCGGCAGCGGCGGCGGCGGGCCUGCUCAGGGCCCGAGAGCCCAGCCCAGCCCUCCUCCGGCGCGCCGGCCUCUCCGCUGUUCCCCGCGCGCUGCCAGCCCCCGCCGCGGCCUCCGGGGAGCAGCGGGAAGCCAGGCUGAGCCUCUCUUCCUCCCCGGCCGUGCGGGCACAGCGGGCACAGCCGGGGAGGGGAGCCGGAGGGGCACACAAGGCAGCGCUCCCGGGGCUCCCCUCGGCGCUCAGCCGGCCGCGCGCCCCCUCUGCCCUCCGGCCCUGGGCGGGCUCGUCGCGGGCUUACCUGCCGGGUCAGGGGGCCCAGGGCUGCUGGGCCGGCCGCCGUGGGAAGCGGGGCGCCCCGGACGGAGCGCUGGAGCCGGCCAGCCCACGUCAGGUGAGGCCGCCUCCCAUCCCUGCUCGCGCCGGCCCGGCCCGGGAAGGGGGAAGGCCUGGCCCCCGCCCCGCCCCGCCCCGCCCCCUCCCACGCCCAGAGAGAGCAGUGGGCGGCUGCCUAGCGGAGCAACGUCGUUCGCUGCCGCCGCCGCAGCCGCCCGCUCGCCAUCCUCCCUCCCAGGGGCUGGGCUCGGAGCGAGCGCGUCAUCCCCGAGCCCGGCCCCCCUCCCUCCUCCUGGCUCCGCAGGGGCCCCGAGGUGCUGAGCCCGAGGAGGCCUCCCGGAGGGGCCCGCAGUUGUUCCCGGGGGCAAAGGGGCUGAAGGCCGUCCUCACGGGCGCUUCAGAAAGGCCUGGCUCCCUUAGAUGGCUUCUUGGCCCACCAACAGAUUGCUCGCCUUGGAGUUGGUCGGCCUUGAAUUCAAAUCCUGCCACAGUCCUUUCCGGCUCUGUGCCCCUGUGCCAAAUGGGAAGACUCAAAAAAGUCCCCUCCGGGCCACACAGGGGAGGGCUGCAGAGAAGACAGCAGAGGCGGCGCUCCCCCUGCUGGCGGCGCAGGGAAUUGGUCCUCUGCGGGAUCCCAGUGGUCCCAGUGCCCGGGCGACCCCCACUCCCACCCCACCCCACCCCAGCCAUCCUUCUGCGGAGCCUCUUUGUGGUCAGAAGCGGUGGAGAGGAAGAAGCGCCGCGCCCACAGCCAUCAUGGGGGCCCUGGGGAAAGGGCGGGUGGCCAUCCCCCUGGAGCUGGGGGCAGGGGCAGGGCCUGGAGAAAGGAAGAUGGGGCAAGGCAGGCUUUGGGCUGCAAGGGGCAGAGGCUGCUCCUAGAAGAAAAACAGAACCCCAGGCUCGGGGCAGCUAG